UACGAGGGGGGCAAGCGUUAUUCAUCAUGACUGGGCGUAAAGGGUGUGUAGGCGGUCUAUUUAUGUUGAAAAGACAAAGGUCAAAAUAAAACUUUGAAAAAGCUUUUUAAAACUAAUAGACUAGAGUACUAGCGGGGAUAGUAGAAUUUCUAGGGUAGUUGUGAAAAACGUGAAACCUAGAGGGAACACCGAUGGCGAAGGCAACUAUCUGGAUAGUAUCUGACGCUGAAACACGAAAGUAUGGGGAGCAAACAGG
Molecule: ribosomal RNA, 256 nt
Filed under: uncultured organism
Description: partial 16S ribosomal RNA
Rfam family: Bacterial small subunit ribosomal RNA
Source: RNAcentral